This 85-nucleotide transfer RNA is filed under the name Clostridia bacterium. RNAcentral's name for it is "tRNA-Leu". It matches the Rfam family "tRNA". From Rfam's summary of the family: Transfer RNA (tRNA) molecules are approximately 80 nucleotides in length. Their secondary structure includes four short double-helical elements and three loops (D, anti-codon, and T loops). Further hydrogen bonds mediate the characteristic L-shaped molecular structure. tRNAs have two regions of fundamental functional importance: the anti-codon, which is responsible for specific mRNA codon recognition, and the 3' end, to which the tRNAs corresponding amino acid is attached (by aminoacyl-tRNA synthetases). tRNAs cope with the degeneracy of the genetic code in two manners: having more than one tRNA (with a specific anti-codon) for a particular amino acid; and 'wobble' base-pairing, i.e. permitting non-standard base-pairing at the 3rd anti-codon position. Lineage: Bacteria; Bacillati; Bacillota; Clostridia. The record is from RNAcentral.
GCCGAAGUGGCGGAAUGGCAGACGCCAGAGACUUAAAAUCUUUUGUCCAUUACGGGCGUGCGGGUUCGAGUCCCGCCUUCGGCAC